This 235-nucleotide non-coding RNA is filed under the name Syntrophomonas wolfei. RNAcentral describes it as "T-box sequence". It matches the Rfam family "T-box leader". From Rfam's summary of the family: Uncharged tRNA acts as the effector for transcription antitermination of genes in the T-box leader family. T-boxes are found upstream of many aminoacyl-tRNA synthetase genes and some amino acid biosynthetic genes usually in Gram-positive bacteria. The anticodon of a specific tRNA base pairs to a specifier sequence within the T-box motif, and the NCCA acceptor tail of the tRNA base pairs to a conserved bulge in the T-box antiterminator hairpin. Lineage: Bacteria; Bacillati; Bacillota; Clostridia; Eubacteriales; Syntrophomonadaceae. The record is from RNAcentral.
UUAAUCGCUGGGAACAGGACAAGUAACCUGCUGGAAGCCCUGCAGGGAGGCCGUAUCAAAGACUGGAAGUAUGGCCAGGAGGGAAAACAGGUGAAUUCACCUGGGAGCAGUGGAUUGAAAUAGUAGUAGAUCUCACCGGUAGCCACCGUUAAAGGGCAGCAAAGAGAAUUAAGCCGCAUUAAUAGCGGUUUGAUUAAUCAGGGUGGUACCGCGGAACCAGGCUUUCGUCCCUAUG